CUUUUUUUUUUUUAUCUUUGAUUUGUUCUGGUCCAUUUUUGUGUAGGGCAGUGGUUCCGUGAACGGGAGCCCCUUGCUGUCAACAUCUGGUGCUAGCACCCCCGGCCGUGGUGGGCGGAGGCAGCUCCCCCAGACACCCCUGACUCCCCGCCCCAGCAUCACCUACAAGACCGCCAACUCCUCACCCAUCCACUUCGCCGGGGCUCAGACCAGCCUCCCUGCCUUCUCCCCGGGCCGGCUCAGCCGUGGGCUUUCUGAACACAACGCCCUGCUGCAGAAAGACCCCCUCAGCCAGCCCCUGGCCCCUGGUUCUCGAAUCGGCUCUGACCCGUCUGGACAGCGAGGCCUCUGUCCACGCCCUGCCUGAGGACACGCUCACUUUCGAGGAGGCUGUGGCCACCAACUCAGGCCGCUCCUCCAGGACUUCCUACGUGUCCUCCCUGACCUCCCAGUCUCACCCUCUCCGCCGCGUGCCCAAUGGUUACCACUGCACCCUGGGACUCAGCUCAGGCGGCCGAGCGCGGCACAGCUACCACCACCCUGACCAAGACCACUGGUGCUAGCUGCACCGUGACUGCUCAGACGCCUGCAUGCAGCAGGCCUGUGUUCCAGUGGAUGAGUUUUAUCAUCCACACGGGGCAGCAGCCCCUGGGGGGAGGCCUCGCCCACCUUGGUGAGGCUCCUGCGGCCCCUCCCUCCCCCUCCUUCCCUCUUUUACUCUAGACGACGAAUAAAGCCCUGUUAGAGGAUGCGGCUCUCUGUCCCCUUCCUGUCCUGCCUUCCUGGGUCUCGUACCACACACCAGACCCUAAAGUGCAGGCUGCUGUGUGUAGCUGAGAAGGACCCGGGAGUCCAAAUCCCGUGUCCUGGGACUCAGCAUCCAGGGUGGCUUGGAGCCGUUGUGAGGAGCUCUGCGUCCUGUGGGGAGCACCCUUCACGCGGCCGUGCAGCAGAGAAGCAGGGCCCACCUGAAAGCGCGCCGAGACCUCGGGACGGAGGGGAUGGGAAGGGGAAACGGUCGUGGCUUGUGCAGCCCGCCAGCGUCAGUGAACGCUCGCUCAGACACGCUCUGUCCCUCCCUGGACACCGUCAGCCCCGCAGGGACUGAGGUGGAAAGUGUUCUUACUGUGGUUUUGAUUUUUAAUUGCAACACCUUCAGUCUUGUCACUUCUAUAUACUUGGUGUAGAAAAAAUAGAAAACCAGAAAAAUGGGGAAGGAAAUGUUCACAUAACUUUAAAAAAUCAAACCUGUGGAAGAAAGAUGUCAGCUUUUUGCCACGUGUCUUUGUGGCUUAUGUGAGGGAGACUCCCUGUGCAGCCCCGUCCAGUCCAGGUGGAUCCCAGACGGCCCCUGACUCUGCUGCUCUUGACCAAGUGCCUGACCGCCAGGCCCUCACACCCGGGCACCUGGGCACUGUGGUGUGAGGCGAGGCCUCGGGAACCAUCGUGGCAGGAUGUUGUGAAAAGUACUCAAAACGGCAGCCAGGUAGCAAGCCCUUGCCAGUGGAGAGUACUGGAUGUCAUGGUGGGAAACAAGGCAGCCAUUUGUUGUCCUCCUCCCACGAGUGGAAGGGGUUUCCAGGGAAGCCACAGGGUGGCUGACCAUGUGCUUGUGUGAGGCAUUUUCAGUCUGUUCUGCAUCUGAUUCUCAGGGCACACUCUGUGGUGUGUGAAAUAGGUUUCCGUCCACACACAGCAGAAGAGAGGGAAAGGCUGGCAGGAAGGAGGGAGACAUUGGCUGGGGGCUUGGAUGUAGGGCCGUCAGGGCAGGAGGGAGGAAACCCCAGCUGGAAUGAAACUCAGAGCAAGUGACCAAGGGAGGACACCUGACGCCCAGCACUGUCCUGGCGCCAGACACGGAGCAGGCAGUCAAGUGAGGUCUGACCCCCAUGGCCAUGCUCAGGAGAGAAAGAGCACGCUCAGGACACUGUCCAAGGUGCACAAGCUGCUGGGAGGCCCUUUGUUUUGUGAAGAAAGGGAGCAUUUAGAGCAGUUAGUGGUGGUGUGUCCUCCGUGUUCUGAAAUUCCAGAUGAUCUGUGUUGGAUUCUUGGCUUCUACCCCACGAUUCUCCUCAAAGAAGUUGUGUGUGAUGCGUGUGUGUGUGUCUGUGUCACGGGAGGCACAGUGCCUGUGCAGGUGUGCUCAGUGUGUGGAUGUCAUUAACCCAUAGGGCUAUGCAACAAAAGACACAUUUACUAGAAAUAAAACACACAAGACCGCUGCCUGGUCUCGGGGUUCAGCAUGAUUGUGACCAAACCUUUUUAUAGAAUUUCCUUACCUGAAGGCACAACGCUCUGGAACUUUAACGACAACAGAGUAUUUUAUUCCAAUAGAAUAAACCAGGAAUCUCGGACUAUGCAUGUGAUCACUGUGCUCAUGUUGCAAAGUAGAAGGAUGUGUAUUUUGACUGAUGUUUUGUCUCUUGUUCCCCCGCCCCCAGCCCAUGUUAUCUUGGGUGUCAAAUGUGUCCAUUCCAUGCAGAACCACAGCCAUUUCCCCAGGCAGUGUUGGGUCGAGAAUCCACUUUUCUAGACCCACACAGCCUAGCUGGCUUGUCUGGACUCUUCUAGGCAUUGGAAUUGAUGAAAACUACAGGGAGCGGGGAAAGGAGACAUUAUGUCUUGUUUUCCUGACUUUGGGUUUUGUUUCUCACUGUGUCUUCUCCAGCUAUCAUAUAUGUCCCCUGAAUCUCAUAGUGAGUUGCCAAAUUUGAAAUGCAUCACCCAGUUGUCUGCAUCUGGAACCAGUCAAGCAGUGGCUGUAGUUUGAACAAGUUAUGUGUGCAUGUAACAUAUAUACAUAUAUACAUAUAUACAAGUAUGUGCAUGAUAAUGUAUAUCUUCGUACUUUUUGAUACAAUGUAUUCAUUUAAUUUUUAAUUAUAUUUGAUAUAAAUCAAAGGUUUGUUGCAAAACUUUAUAUUUAAGAAGUGUUAAAAAAAAAAAAAA
This 2949-nucleotide long non-coding RNA is filed under the name Macaca fascicularis (crab-eating macaque). RNAcentral's name for it is "lncRNA (ENSMFAG00000063369.1)". The record is from RNAcentral. Lineage: Eukaryota; Metazoa; Chordata; Mammalia; Primates; Cercopithecidae.